This 253-nucleotide ribosomal RNA is filed under the name uncultured bacterium. RNAcentral's name for it is "partial 16S ribosomal RNA". It matches the Rfam family "Bacterial small subunit ribosomal RNA", at positions 524 to 776 of the family's 1533-position model. The record is from RNAcentral.
UACAGAGGUCUCAAGCGUUGUUCGGAUUCACUGGGCUUAAAGGGCGCGUAGGCGGACGAGCAAGUCCGGGGUGAAAUCUUUCGGCUCAACCGGAAAAGUGCCUGGGAAACUGCUCGUCUUGAGGGAGGUAGGGGCCUGUGGAACUUCCGGUGGAGCGGUGAAAUGCGUUGAUAUCGGAAGGAACGCCGGUGGCGAAAGCGACGGGCUGGCCCUCCACUGACGCUGAGGCGCGAAAGCCAGGGGAGCGAACGGG